UACGUAGGGUGCAAGCGUUGUCCGGAAUUAUUGGGCGUAAAGAGCUCGUAGGCGGUUCGUCGCGUCGGCUGUGAAAACCUGAGGCUCAACCUCAGGCCUGCAGUCGAUACGGGCAGACUUGAGGUAUGCAGGGGAGAACGGAAUUCCUGGUGUAGCGGUGAAAUGCGCAGAUAUCAGGAGGAACACCGGUGGCGAAAGCGGCGCGCUGGAUCCCUACUGACGCUGAGGCACGAAAGCCAGGGGAGCAAACGGG
This 253-nucleotide ribosomal RNA is filed under the name uncultured bacterium. Its description in RNAcentral is "partial 16S ribosomal RNA". It matches the Rfam family "Bacterial small subunit ribosomal RNA", at positions 524 to 776 of the family's 1533-position model. The record is from RNAcentral.